RNAcentral lists this ribosomal RNA (503 nucleotides) under uncultured Glomus. RNAcentral's name for it is "SSU rRNA". It matches the Rfam family "Eukaryotic small subunit ribosomal RNA", at positions 569 to 1074 of the family's 1831-position model. The record is from RNAcentral. Lineage: Eukaryota; Fungi; Glomeromycota; Glomeromycetes; Glomerales; Glomeraceae.
AGCAGCCGCGGUAAUUCCAGCUCCAAUAGCGUAUAUUAAAGUUGUUGCAGUUAAAAAGCUCGUAGUUGAAUUUCGGGAUCAAUACGUCGGUCGUGCCUCUGGUAUGUACUGGUGUUAUUGAUUUCUCCCUUCUGAUGAACCAUGAUGUCAUUAAUUUGGUGUUGUGUGGAGUCAGGACUGUUACUUUGAAAAAAUUAGAGUGUUUAAAGCAGGCUCACGCUUGAAUACACUAGCAUGGAAUAAUGAAAUAGGACGUUCGAUCCUAUUUUGUUGGUUUCUAGGAUCAACGUAAUGAUUAAUAGGGAUAGUUGGGGGCAUUAGUAUUCAAUUGUCAGAGGUGAAAUUCUUGGAUUUAUUGAAGACUAACUACUGCGAAAGCAUUUGCCAAGGAUGUUUUCAUUAAUCAAGAACGAAAGUUAGGGGAUCGAAGACGAUCAGAUACCGUCGUAGUCUUAACCAUAAACUAUGCCGACUAGGGAUCGGAUGAUGUUAAUUUUUAAUGA